UAAAGUUCAAUGCAAAAGCAAAGUACAAUCAACAAAAACGUUGGCGAGUAUACAAGUUUGAUACAUAGCAUAGUAGAAUAAAAUGUUUAAAUGUGCUCAUAUCCAACAUGAAUAAAAUGAUACAAGUUACUACUUUGCCAUUCAAUAUCGUUCAACAUCGUUCAACAUCGUUCAACAUCGUUCAAUAUCGUUCAACAUCGUUCAACAUCGUUCAACAUCGUUCAAAUAUCGU
This 232-nucleotide long non-coding RNA is filed under the name Helianthus annuus (common sunflower). RNAcentral's name for it is "sRNA HanXRQr2_Chr15g0702161". Lineage: Eukaryota; Viridiplantae; Streptophyta; Magnoliopsida; Asterales; Asteraceae. The record is from RNAcentral.